Molecule: non-coding RNA, 515 nt
Filed under: Rhodococcus sp. EPR-157
Lineage: Bacteria; Bacillati; Actinomycetota; Actinomycetes; Mycobacteriales; Nocardiaceae
Description: Bacterial large subunit ribosomal RNA
Rfam family: Bacterial large subunit ribosomal RNA
Source: Rfam by way of RNAcentral
UUGUAAGUAGUUUAGAGCGUACGGUGGAUGCCUUGGCACCAGGAGCCGAUGAAGGACGUAGGAGGCUGCGAUAAGCCUCGGGGAGCUGUCAACCGAGCUGUGAUCCGAGGGUGUCCGAAUGGGGAAACCCAGCACGAGUGAUGUCGUGUUACCUGCACCUGAAUAUAUAGGGUGUGUGGAGGGAACGUGGGGAAGUGAAACAUCUCAGUACCCACAGGAAGAGAAAACAAUUGUGAUUCCGUGAGUAGUGGCGAGCGAAAGCGGAGGAGGCCAAACUUUGUGCGUGUGAUACCCGGCAGGGGUUGCGUAUGGAGGGUUGUGGGGUUUGCUUUGUCGAUUCUGCCGGAUCGGCCGACAGUAAGAAAUCAUGGUGUUAGUCGAAGUGGUCUGGAACGGCCUGUCGUAGAGGGUGAGAGUCCCGUAGACGAAAGUACUGUGACUGUUGUAGUGGAUACCCAAGUAGCAGCGGGCCCGUGAAAUCUGCUGUGAAUCUGUCGGGACCACCCGAUAAGCCU